This 879-nucleotide ribosomal RNA is filed under the name uncultured Phialocephala. RNAcentral describes it as "eukaryotic LSU rRNA". The stretch from base 541 to 694 matches the Rfam family "5.8S ribosomal RNA". The record is from RNAcentral. Lineage: Eukaryota; Fungi; Ascomycota; Leotiomycetes; Helotiales.
AAGUCGUAACAAGGUUUUGCUAAGCAACAGUCCUUCUGUAGCAGAGCUUAACGGAGACCUUGCACCCGAGAGGGGGGAGGCGACUAUAAACAAGUCCCAGUGCAAGUCAGCGCCGCUGGCAACACAAUCGAAUUGCGGGGACGCUUUAAAGCUCGGUGGUACCAACCCUCCGGAUGUCGGAGGGGGCGGGCAAUGCCCGAGGUCAGAACCCACCGAGAUGUACAAUAAGCAAUCCGCAGCGGUCCGUUUGGACCGUCCACAGACUAAGUGGUUGUGGGGAGCCCUGGCUCCUUAAGAUAUAGUCGGGCCCGGUGAGCAGUCACCGGGGGUUCUGCGUCCGUAGGUGAACCUGCGGAAGGAUCAUUACAAGUGAGGCUACCGAACGUUGGAAACAGCGGUUAGGAGCUUACACCCACCCGUGUUUACAUACUAUUGUUGCUUUGGCGGGCCGUGGCCUCCACCGUGGGCUCUGCUCGUGUGUGCCCGCCAGAGGACCAAACUCUGAAUGUUAGUGAUGUCUGAGUACUAUCUAAUAGUUAAAACUUUCAACAACGGAUCUCUUGGUUCUGGCAUCGAUGAAGAACGCAGCGAAAUGCGAUAAGUAAUGUGAAUUGCAGAAUUCAGUGAAUCAUCGAAUCUUUGAACGCACAUUGCGCCCUGUGGUAUUCCGCAGGGCAUGCCUGUUCGAGCGUCAUUUAACCACUCACGCCUAGCGUGGUAUUGGGGCACGCGGUCUCGCGGCCCUCAAAAUUAGUGGCGGCGCCGGUGGGCUCUAAGCGUAGUACAUACUCCCGCUAUAGAGUUCCCCCGGUAGCUUGCCAGAACCCCCAAUUUUUACAGGUUGACCUCGGAUCACGUAGGGAUACCCGCUGAACUUAA